RNAcentral lists this ribosomal RNA (141 nucleotides) under uncultured bacterium. RNAcentral describes it as "partial 16S ribosomal RNA". It matches the Rfam family "Bacterial small subunit ribosomal RNA", at positions 355 to 492 of the family's 1533-position model. The record is from RNAcentral.
UGAGGAAUAUUGGUCAAUGGGCGGGAGCCUGAACCAGCCAAGUCGCGUGAGGGAAGACGGUCCUAUGGAUUGUAAACCUCUUUUGUCGGGGAGCAAAGAGGCCACGUGUGGUCAAAAGCGAGAGUACCCGAAGAAAAAGCA